GGUCACUGUCUGGAACUUGUCCAUCAUUAAGACAAGGGAAAGCUAUGUAAACCAUCUCUCAGUUCUUAAAGGCCCCUUAAAGAUGACAAUGUGAUAUAGAUUUCAUCUGCUGAAAUUUGAUUGACCAAGACACUCACAUUCCUGUACCUGAGAGAGAAAAAAGGAAUUCAAGCUCCAUGUCAGUAAUUGCCCCUCGUGAGCCAUGGCAGAGACAAGAGCCAACACACCCAGCUCCAUGUACCACAGUGAUCGCUGCAGCUUUCCCAAGAACAUCUGACCCUGGAAUCAAGCCAAGAUACUCAGCCAUGCUGCCAUGUGACACCUGAAUCAACAGGAAGCAGAGUCACAGCAGGUGACAAGGUCCACCAGGAGUUAGCACUGGAGAAACAGAGGUUGAAAACCUCUGCAAGCAAUCUGGUAAUCAAGCUCGGCUCAUCGCACUACAGAAGGUCAGCUUGAUGUCCAUCCUGUCAUGCAUGAGCAGGGUCCUCCAAGACCUGUACCAAGCUGCCUUGAGAUCCCAC
Long non-coding RNA from Mastomys coucha (southern multimammate mouse), 524 nucleotides. RefSeq lists it as uncharacterized. The record is from RefSeq and is a predicted model, not a curated record. Lineage: Eukaryota; Metazoa; Chordata; Mammalia; Rodentia; Muridae. The transcript has 4 exons.